This 601-nucleotide long non-coding RNA is filed under the name Nicotiana benthamiana. RNAcentral describes it as "long non-coding RNA (NBEN_LNC007605)". The record is from RNAcentral. Lineage: Eukaryota; Viridiplantae; Streptophyta; Magnoliopsida; Solanales; Solanaceae.
CAUGUUGCGCCAUUGAGUUCACCGCCUUCAUCUUCGUCGAACACUUUGUCACUUGCAGCCCAUACUCACAAUUCUAGAAGCAACAAAAGUAUGCCUGGUUCUGAUAUCAAUCAUUGUCAGGACACUCUUUUUUUCAAUUUUUAGAUCCACAUAAAUUAGUGUGGAAUAAGAAUUAGCCAAAUCAUCCCCUGUAGCGUUCACGUAUGCAACUUCUUCCUUGUCAGUAUUUUCUUUAUCAUCGGCUACAAUCACACAGCAGCCUCAUCGGAUUCACAUAGGCAGAAACUUCCUGUCCCUUUCCUUGUUUUUUCUCUUCAGCAAGAAGAGCAUUAAUCUUUCCUUGAUUUGAACAGUUUCGUGCAUGAUGUUAAGGUUUUUGGCAUGUCUAGCAAACCUUUUAACCGCCCGUUGGACUGUUUGUUUUUUACGAAGAAACAUCCAUCUUGUCCUUGCCUUUGUCAUUUCCAUCCUGCUUCUGAUUUUCCUUCCUCCGGUCCUUACACUUCUCCUUUUUAUUUGUCUAAGAAAAUAGGCAAGAUCAAAAGUUAGACCCAUUGAGCGAAAAUCCACUAAUGUGUCUGCCUAUGAAUUUUGUUUUGUG